GGUUGAAAUAUAUUUUCUUUUUUGUUGAAACUUCACCAAAUCCUGAUAAAUAUUGAAGAAUAUUUGUUUUAUUAAGUUCAUAACAAGUUUUGUACGGUUUAGAGUAUAUUCAAACUGAAGUGUUAAUACCUGUACUGUCACUUUAAGGGGUCUCAGUAUUACGACGUCAACUCGGCGCCUCUCUCAGUUCGCGCUUUGCUCACUGAGAGGAGGUAAGGAUUUUUCUGCUGGUUAUCGUUAGGAGUUUAUUUCGUUUUGUAGAUAAUAUAAUAUAACAAUAUGCAGUUAUAAAGUGAAUGCUAGUCUUAAAGGUGUAAACAUGCAGCCAUGUCGUUAAAAAGUAAACCUUGUAAAUACACUUUUGCAAGUUAUACGGGAGACAUGUUUUUCAGUGCUACGGGGUUUCCUGUGUGUUUAUUUGCUUAUAGGAGACUGAUGAACAACGUGUGUGGAAGAGACUGCAUGUUGCAGAGCAUUUUUUUGUUUUCUACUAAUUUGUACAGAUACCACUGCUAUACAGCUUGCUUUAAAGGAGCAACCAGUA
This is a long non-coding RNA of Rhinichthys klamathensis goyatoka, 544 nucleotides long. RefSeq lists it as uncharacterized. The transcript has 2 exons. The record is from RefSeq and is a predicted model, not a curated record. Lineage: Eukaryota; Metazoa; Chordata; Actinopteri; Cypriniformes; Leuciscidae.